AUGCUAUCCCUGGGCGCCCUCCGCAAGCUCUGCGCCGCCUUCGACGCCGUCGCGCUCACCGUCAUCGCCGCCGGCCUCUCCCACCCGCGCUGCCGCCCCUUCUCCUCCCGCGCGCCCUCCCCGCCGCCGGACUUCCCCACCAUUGCCGCCUGCCGCGCCGCGGUCGCCGCUUCCAAGACCCACCGCCAGCCCUCCUCCCCGCCCCACGCCGCGGCGCAGUCCCAAGGGCCCGCGGACGCCGAGACUCCGGUGCUGGUCAGGAUCAAGCGCGAGCGGGACCCGGUGCGCCUCUACGAGCUGUUCACCGCCAAUGCGGACAACCGCGUGCUGGUGGAGAACCGGUUCGCGUUCGAGGACGCGGUGGGGCGGCUGGCAGGUGCUCGACGGAACGACCUCGUCGAGCGGAUCCUCGAGCAGCACAGGGCGCUGCCGCAGGGGCGGCGGGAGGGGUUCGUGGUCAGGGUCAUCGGCCUCUACGGGAAGGCCCGGAUGCCGGAGCACGCGCUGCGGACCUUCCGGGAGAUGGAGCUGCACGGGUGCCCGCGCACCGCCAAGUCGCUCAACGCCACCAUGAGGGUGCUGGCGCAGUCGCGGCGCUUCGACGACGUCCUGCAGCUGCUGGACGAGGCGUCGCCCAGGUACGGGGUCGCGCUGGACGCCGUCUCCUACAACACCGUGGUCAAGAUGGCGUGCGACAUGGGGGAGCUCCGCGCGGCGUACCGGGUCAUGCAGGAGAUGGAGGAGAAGGAAGGGGUGCGGCCCGACGCCGUCACGUACACCACGCUCAUGGCCGCGUUCUAUAAGAGCGGCCAGCGCGAGGUCGGGGACGGCCUUUGGAACCUCAUGCGGCUGAGGGGCUGCAUGCCGACGCUCGCCAGUUACAAUGUCAGGAUCCAGUUCCUCAUCAACAGGAGAAGGGGCUGGCAGGCGAAUGACCUGGUGCGCAAAAUGUACGCGGCGGGGAUAGGGCCGGACGAGAUCACGUACAACCUGGUUAUCAAGGGGUUCUUUCUGAUGGGUGAGCACGAGAUGGCGCAGACGGUCUUCGGUGCCAUGCAUGGGAGGGGAUGCAAGCCGAAUGAGAGGGUUUACCAGACGAUGGUGCAUUACCUGUGUAAGCGGAGGGACUUCAACCUAGCGUUCAGGUUGUGUAAGGACAGCAUGGAGAAGAACUGGUUUCCCAGUGUGGAUACCAUUCACCAUCUGCUGCAAGGCCUCAUGAAAAUUAGAAAGGACAGGAAUGCGCGGGAGAUAUUGAAGCUCGUUACGGAGAGACAACCUGCGUACUCAGCUGACGAAGUGAAGGCCUUCCAAGACAUAUUGUCUCAUGGGAAGACUGGAAGAAGUUGACUGCCGGAUGGGAAGUUUUGCUGUAAAUCCGCCACAUGUAACUUAUUUCAGGUUAUAUUUGAGCAAAUCUGAGAAGUUGACUGCUGGAUGGAAAGUUUUGCUGUAAAUCCACCACAUGUAAAACUUUGACACUCUCUCUAUGCUUGAUUGAAAGGAGAAGGCAGCAAAGAAAAUAAUGAUGAAAAUACAGAAUAAGAGAAGUUGAGGGGAAUGGGGUCGCAUGGUCAUCGAGCAGCAUUGUUACCAGAACAAUCGGAAGUCAGAAGGUAGACGUUUUGAAAAACUCUAUCAAGAUUGUUGCUUGGAGCACUGGAGGGAAAACAAGCGUGUGACUGAUCGCGGUGAAGGGAACUUCCUGCCCAGAUUACCAACAAAUGGAGCAAGCUGCAAGUCACAGUUUGUGCUAACAACAUAGUCAACCGCAAAAGACUUUUGUACCAACUGCCGGUUGGCAUAGCCAUAUACUUCUACUGGGAGCCACACACACACACAUAUACAUUGAUAAGUUAGUAUAUCACGAUGUAUCUCACUACAGCUGUAAAUUCUUGACAUUCUUU
Lolium rigidum is the source of this 1907-nucleotide RNA transcript. It is a transcript of the gene named pentatricopeptide repeat-containing protein At1g80150, mitochondrial-like, with no coding region annotated. The transcript is spliced from 4 exons. NCBI's taxonomy places the organism in Eukaryota, Viridiplantae, Streptophyta, Magnoliopsida, Poales, Poaceae. The record is from RefSeq and is a predicted model, not a curated record.